This 448-nucleotide ribosomal RNA is filed under the name uncultured bacterium. RNAcentral's name for it is "bacterial SSU rRNA". It matches the Rfam family "Bacterial small subunit ribosomal RNA", at positions 28 to 489 of the family's 1533-position model. The record is from RNAcentral.
GACGAACGCUGGCGGCGCGCCUAACACAUGCAAGUCGAACGAGAGAUGAGGAGCUUGCUCUUCAAAUCGAGUGGCGAACGGGUGAGUAACGCGUGAGGAACCUGCCUCAAAGAGGGGGGACAACAGUUGGAAACGACUGCUAAUACCGCAUAAGCCCACGACCCGGCAUCGGGUUNAGGGAAAAGGAGCAAUCCGCUUUGAGAUGGCCUCGCGUCCGAUUAGCUAGUUGGUGAGGUAACGGCCCACCAAGGCAACGAUCGGUAGCCGGACUGAGAGGUUGAACGGCCACAUUGGGACUGAGACACGGCCCAGACUCCUACGGGAGGCAGCAGUGGGGAAUAUUGCACAAUGGGGGAAACCCUGAUGCAGCGACGCCGCGUGGAGGAAGAAGGUCUUCGGAUUGUAAACUCCUGUGUUGAGGAAGAUAAUGACGGUACUCAACAAGGAA